GUCUUUUUGAAUUAAAUUUAAAGUCUAACCUGCCCACUGAAAAUUUUUAAAUGGCCGCAGUAUUCUAACUGUGCAAAGGUAGCAUAAUCAUUAGUCUUUUAAUUGAAGGCUGGAAUGAAUGGUUGGACGAAAUAUUAACUGUUUCAUUUAAAUUUUUUAUAGAAUUUUAUUUUUUAGUCAAAAAGCUAAAAUAAAUUUAAAAGACGAGAAGACCCUAUAAAUCUUUAUAUUUUAUUUAUUUUAAUUAUAAAGAUUAUUUUUGUUAUAAUAAAUAAAAAUAUUUUAUUGGGGUGAUAUUAAAAUUUAAAAAACUUUUAAUUUUAAAAUCCAUUAAUUUAUGAAUAAUUGAUCCAUUAAUAAUGAUUAAAAAUUUAAGUUACUUUAGGGAUAACAGCGUAAUUUUUUUGGAGAGUUCAUAUCGAUAAAAAAGAUUGCGACCUCGAUGUUGGAUUAAGAUAUAAUUUUGGGUGUAGCCGUUCAAAUUUUAAGUCUGUUCGACUUUUAAAUUCUU
Molecule: ribosomal RNA, 511 nt
Filed under: Drosophila dissita
Lineage: Eukaryota; Metazoa; Arthropoda; Insecta; Diptera; Drosophilidae
Description: partial 16S ribosomal RNA
Rfam family: Bacterial large subunit ribosomal RNA
Source: RNAcentral